UACGUAUGGGGCGAGCGUUAUCCGGAAUCAUUGGGCGUAAAGCGCGCGUAGGCGGCCGGGCAAGCGGGGCGUCAAAUCCCGGGGCUCAACCCCGGGCCGCGCCCCGAACUGCCCGGAUCGAGUUGGGUAGGGGAAGGCGGAAUUCCCGGUGUAGCGGUGAAAUGCGCAGAUAUCGGGAAGAACACCGGUGGCGAAGGCGGCCUUCUGGGCCCUAACUGACGCUGAGGCGCGAAAGCCGGGGGAGC
This 245-nucleotide ribosomal RNA is filed under the name uncultured Coriobacteriaceae bacterium. RNAcentral describes it as "partial 16S ribosomal RNA". It matches the Rfam family "Bacterial small subunit ribosomal RNA", at positions 524 to 769 of the family's 1533-position model. The record is from RNAcentral. Lineage: Bacteria; Bacillati; Actinomycetota; Coriobacteriia; Coriobacteriales; Coriobacteriaceae.